GUUGGUGAGUGAUUGAAGCUGCUAGAUGACCUGAUUGAACCCAAAUCGUAGAAAAUCAAAUCCCAGAAAAUCAAUAACUCAAAAUCAUGGAUCAACGGUGGAGGUUUGAUUGGAUUUUGGGUAGAUGAGUGUGCAAAUACAAGAAAAGAACAAUAUAGAUUUGUUUCUAACCAGAUCACGCUGGCAGCUUCAACCUCUCAAACC
Molecule: microRNA precursor, 204 nt
Filed under: Olea europaea subsp. europaea
Lineage: Eukaryota; Viridiplantae; Streptophyta; Magnoliopsida; Lamiales; Oleaceae
Source: RNAcentral